AUUGAACGCUGGCGGCGUGCUUUACACAUGCAAGUCGAAUGGCAGCGCGGGGCAACCUGGCGGCGAGUGGCGAACGGGUGAGUAAUACAUCGGAACGUACCCAGAAGUGGGGGAUAACGUAGCGAAAGUUACGCUAAUACCGCAUACGUUCUACGGAAGAAAGUGGGGGACCUUCGGGCCUCAUGCUUUUGGAGCGGCCGAUGUCUGAUUAGCUAGUUGGUGAGGUAAAGGCUCACCAAGGCGACGAUCAGUAGCUGGUCUGAGAGGACGACCAGCCACACUGGGACUGAGACACGGCCCAGACUCCUACGGGAGGCAGCAGUGGGGAAUUUUGGACAAUGGGCGCAAGCCUGAUCCGGCAAUGCCGCGUGAGUGAAGAAGGCCUUCGGGUUGUAAAGCUCUUUUGUCAGGGAAGAAACGGCUGAGGAUAAUACCUUCGGCUAAUGACGGUACCUGAAGAAUAAGCACCGGCUAACUACGUGCCAGCCGCCGCAGUAA
This 498-nucleotide ribosomal RNA is filed under the name uncultured bacterium. RNAcentral's name for it is "partial 16S ribosomal RNA". It matches the Rfam family "Bacterial small subunit ribosomal RNA", at positions 30 to 523 of the family's 1533-position model. The record is from RNAcentral.